Molecule: unclassified non-coding RNA, 334 nt
Filed under: soil metagenome
Description: partial contains 5.8S ribosomal RNA, internal transcribed spacer 2, and large subunit ribosomal RNA
Rfam family: 5.8S ribosomal RNA (bases 1-120)
Source: RNAcentral
GAUGAAGAACGCAGCGAAAUGCGAUACGUAAUGUGAAUUGCAGAAUUCAGUGAAUCAUCGAAUCUUUGAACGCACAUUGCGCCCGCCAGCACUCUGGCGGGCAUGCCUGUUCGAGCGUCAUUUCAACCAUCAAGCCCCAGGCUUGCGUUGGAGCCCUGCGGCUGCCGCCGCCUCCUAAAAGCAGUGGCGGGCUCGCUAUCACACCGAGUGCAGUAGAUUACUCUUCGCUCAGGGCGUGCAGCGGGUUCCGGCCGUGAAACCCCCUACUUUUAAAGGUUGACCUCGGAUCAGGUAGGAAUACCCGCUGAACUUAAGCAUAUCAAUAAGCGGAGGA